Molecule: ribosomal RNA, 254 nt
Filed under: uncultured bacterium
Lineage: Bacteria
Description: partial 16S ribosomal RNA
Rfam family: Bacterial small subunit ribosomal RNA
Source: RNAcentral
UACGUAGGGUGCGAGCGUUGUCCGGAAUUAUUGGGCGUAAAGAGCUUGUAGGCGGUUUGUCGCGUCUGCUGUGAAAAUCCGGGACUCAACCCCGGACCUGCAGUGGGUACGGGCAGACUAGAGUGUGGUAGGGGAGACUGGAAUUCCUGGUGUAGCGGUGAAAUGCGCAGAUAUCAGGAGGAACACCGGUGGCGAAGGCGGAUCUCUGGGCCGUAACUGACGCUGGAGGAGCGAAAGCAUGGGGAGCGAACAGG